CUAAGGAUUAGGAACUACACAUCGUAACUUUGUUCAGUUUUGAGAGAUUUAACUCUCAAGUUUGUUCAUUGAAAACUGGAUAAUUGAAUGAAUAUAUACCGAGAAAACACCGCGUUGAAUGAGUUUUUAAUAAAGUUCAACACUUAUUUUCUUAAAUAGGUGAUAAUAAUCGCUAAUAA
This 179-nucleotide unclassified non-coding RNA is filed under the name uncultured bacterium. Its description in RNAcentral is "16S-23S ribosomal RNA intergenic spacer". The record is from RNAcentral.